GAAAUAGUAUGACUUUGUGAAAAAACGCAUACAGAUUUUACUGCUGAUGUAGAACCAGAUUUUAAGAUGAAAAUCCUCACUGAAUAAGUAUUCAAAACUUUUCUCCUAACUGUUAUUCCUAUAGCAUAGGUAUAUUCACAGUCCUUUAAUAAAAGCUUUUUCUUCAUAUAAAUUCUUAGGCUACAGAGUAACAAUAUGUAUUGAUUGAACUGAACGUUUCCUCAGAGGGCACAUCAAGAUUACUGUUAAGAUUUCAGAUGAGGAAUUGCAUUUGUGAAGGUGAUGUUUCAACUGUACUUCCUUAGUAUCACACCAUGGAGCAUGCGAAUAGGAUUUCUUUGUGUGAAGAACCAGGAGGGACAGUCCAAUGCCAUCAAAUGGGAAUGGAAGAAUUAAUCAUUGAACCAGGAAAAGCAAUGUGAUUUUGCUGCCAAAAAUCUGGUAGGAUAUCACAAGAAAAAGUAAAGCAAAAUAUAAGUUUUUAAAUAUUUUGGUUUUCA
This 500-nucleotide long non-coding RNA is filed under the name Coturnix japonica (Japanese quail). RNAcentral describes it as "lncRNA (ENSCJPG00005013446.1)". The record is from RNAcentral. Lineage: Eukaryota; Metazoa; Chordata; Aves; Galliformes; Phasianidae.